RNAcentral lists this ribosomal RNA (448 nucleotides) under uncultured bacterium. RNAcentral's name for it is "bacterial SSU rRNA". It matches the Rfam family "Bacterial small subunit ribosomal RNA", at positions 330 to 794 of the family's 1533-position model. The record is from RNAcentral.
ACCAGACUCCUACGGGAGGCAGCAGUGGGGGAUAUUGCACAAUGGGGGGAACCCUGAUGCAGCGACGCCGCGUGGGUGAAGGAGUGCUUCGGCAUGUAAAGCCCUAUCGGCAGGGAAGAAGCAAGACGGUACCUGACUAAGAAGCCCCGGCUAACUACGUGCCAGCAGCCGCGGUAAUACGUAGGGGGCAAGCGUUAUCCGGAUUUACUGGGUGUAAAGGGAGCGUAGACGGCUGCGCAAGUCAGAAGUGAAAGCCCGGGGCUCAACCGCGGGACUGCUUUUGAAACUGUGUAGCUAGAGUGCAGGAGAGGUAAGUGGAAUUCCUAGUGUAGCGGUGAAAUGCGUAGAUAUUAGGAGGAACACCGGUGGCGAAGGCGGCUUACUGGACUGUAACUGACGUUGAGGCUCGAAAGCGUGGGGAGCAAACAGGAUUAGAUACCCCGGUAAA